This 263-nucleotide ribosomal RNA is filed under the name uncultured archaeon. RNAcentral describes it as "partial 16S ribosomal RNA". It matches the Rfam family "Archaeal small subunit ribosomal RNA", at positions 719 to 982 of the family's 1478-position model. The record is from RNAcentral.
AGUCACUGACAUUAGAUACCCGGGUAGUCCAGGGUGUAAACGCUGCAGACUUGGUGUUGGAAGUCCUUUGGGGCAUUCAGUGCCGGAGAGAAGUUGUUAAGUCUGCUACUUGGGGAGUACGUCCGCAAGGAUGAAACUUAAAGGAAUUGGCGGGGAGCACCGCAACGGGAGGAGCGUGCGGUUUAAUUGGAUUCAACGCCGAAAAACUCACCAGCAGCGACUGUUACAUGAAAGCCGAGAUGAAGACUCUGCUAGAUUUUCAG